UAGCUCAGUCAGUUGAGUGUGGCGCUAACAACGCUAAGGUCAUGGGUUCGAUUCCCGU
This 58-nucleotide transfer RNA is filed under the name Apaloderma vittatum (bar-tailed trogon). It matches the Rfam family "tRNA", at positions 8 to 63 of the family's 71-position model. From Rfam's summary of the family: Transfer RNA (tRNA) molecules are approximately 80 nucleotides in length. Their secondary structure includes four short double-helical elements and three loops (D, anti-codon, and T loops). Lineage: Eukaryota; Metazoa; Chordata; Aves; Trogoniformes; Trogonidae. The record is from Rfam by way of RNAcentral.